This is a long non-coding RNA of Mugil cephalus (flathead mullet), 325 nucleotides long. RefSeq lists it as uncharacterized. NCBI's taxonomy places the organism in Eukaryota, Metazoa, Chordata, Actinopteri, Mugiliformes, Mugilidae. The transcript has 2 exons. The record is from RefSeq and is a predicted model, not a curated record.
GAGGAUCGUCCCCGUCCAGGUCGUCGUCCAGCACGUCGUUGAACGGAUCCUGGGCCUCGGACAGCGCCUGGUGGCGGGAGGUUAUCCGACAUUCAGCGCAUCUCAUAAGACCUGACAUGUCUCUGCAAGAAUGCCUGUAAACUGACCUCGAGGCAGCUGGGCGAACCGUUCGCAGGCUGACCACACGCCUCCUGUGGACGUCAGCUGUUCCUGGCUCAGACUAGAGGAAACGAGAGGACAGAAAAAAGAAGUCUGAGCAUGCCAGAAAGUUUACUGUAGAGCUGCAAGAUGUGAGAAAAAUAAAUAAGUAAAUUAAUCUAACAAA